GGAGCUCAUAAAAACAUUUGGGAGGAAAGAAACCCUGGAGUUUUGAGCCUGGGUGUCAAGCAGGGGGAAGGGGGGAGGCCACCAAUAUGGUACCUGCUUUCGACGGAGCUCAUCAUUUUAGUGCGAAUAUUUGACCUCGCUUUGAUUCAGAAUUUCGAAAUUUGUUUGCCUUCGUUUCCUGGGCAAGGCAAAACCCUCCUCAUUCUUCAAUUUCCAUGAACACUACGGUACUCUCUCUCUCUCUCUCUCUCUCUCUCUCUCUCUCCGUGUUGGUCCUACAUAGAUUGUGAUAAAAAUGUACCGGUAUCUCAAUCAUAUAGGAAAAUCAAGAUUUGGAGCUUUCAUCUGGUACGUAAUUGCAGUGUUCCAUGGAUUAUUAGGGUUCUUGUAAUCAAGAAAUAGUUUUUUUAUUUUUUAUUUUCUGAAGUACUGCUUCCUCCUGCUUCAAGAUAUGGGUUUUGAUUUUCUUUCUUGUUAAUUUCAUAGGUUAUCAGCAAGAGCUAUUAACAAUGAGUGAUUCAGGUGUGUUAUGGUGUGUGUGUGUAUAUAUAUAUAUAUAUAUAUGUGUGUGUGUCUGUCUGUCUGUCUGUUUUUUUCCUUUUAAAAAAUUGCUAAUGGUUCUAAUGCUCAUCAGGUUCCUCCACAUUAAGUUAUGAGUCCCCAUCAAGCGAUGAGGAGCCAGAUGGGCGUGCUCUGGUGGGUGAUGGGAUUGGUUUUCCAGAGUCGAUCAAUUAUUUUGCACCGAGGUAAUUUUCCUUCAUGCCCCUAGGAAAUAAAAAACUCUUAACUUUUCCUUAAGAUGAGAUAAUAGUUUUAUGGCCUUAUACAUCUAAAGGGUUCUACCUAGCAACCCAAUGAAACAGUUCGAAUAAAUAUUUGGGGUAUCAAAAACUCUUAAAGUUUAAUUAUAAACUAACAUUACAGGGCAUCAAAAAAUCUUAAAAUUUUUAUAGGAUUCUACCUAACAAACCAAUCAAACAGUUUUCUGAGCAUUACCAAAAUUGUUUCCCAUUAGAUAAUGUAUGAGAUGUAUUAUUAUAUGUAACCCAAUUUCAAGAAACUCAUGAGGAACUUUCAGGAUAAAUAAGAGGACUCUAGUUGUACCUUUUUAAUCAGGUCAGUUUUCCUGAAUUGUUUAUGGAUGAUGCAAAUUUUCACAAAUCACUACACAAUGCACAUUAUGAAAUUAGUUCAAAUAAAAUAUUUGGUCUGUAUUUUUUCAAGCAUGUUUAUGCUUCUGAUGGUUAUUUCUGAUAAUUUCUGGUAUAACGAAUUUGGAACUGUCUUGAUGCCAAUAAAAACCUGAUUCCUCAAUUUGUGACUGUGACUUGCUUCUUUCAGCACCAACUACACACAUGCAGCCUGCCUGAUCUUAGCUGUAGAACGAUUGUACGAUGAAAUGAUUACUUCUUUCUCAAUUUCAAGAAACUUAUGAGGAACUUUCAAUAUCAAUAAUAGGACUCUAGUGUACCUUUUUAGUCAGCUCAGUUUUCUUGAAUUGUUUCUGGAUGAUGCAAAUUUUCACAAAUCACUACAAAAUGCACAUUAUGAAAUUAGUUCGAAUAAAAUAUUUGGUCUGUAUUCUUUAAGCAUGUUUGUGCCUCUGCUGGUUAUUUCUGAUAGUUUCUGGUAUAACGAACUUGUAACUGUCUUGAUGCCAAUUAAAACCUGAUUUUUUAAUUUGUGACUCUGACUUGCUUCUUUCAGCACCAACUACACACAUGCAGCCUGCCUGAACUUAGCUGUAGAACGAUUGUACGAUGAAAUGAUUACUUCUUUCUCAAUUUCAAGAAACUUGUGAGGAACUUUCAGGAUAAAUAAUAGGACUCUAGCUGUACCUUUUUAGGCAUCUCAUUUUUCCUGAAUUGUUUAUGGAUGAUGCAAAUUUUCACAAAUCACUAAAAAAUGCACAUUAUGAAAUUAGUUCAAAUAAAAUAUUUGGUCUGUAUUCUUCAAGCUUGUUUAUGCUUCUGCUGGUUAUUUCUGAUAGUUUCUGGUAUAACGAACUUGUAACUGUCUUGAUGCUAAUUAAAACUUGAUUCCUUAAUUUUGUGACUGUGGCUUGUUUCCUCAGCACCAACUACACACAUGCUGAUUACUUUUUUCUCAUAGAUGACAGUAACAACCUUUUAAUGUCUUCUUUUCUCUCACCCAGGACCUUACAGGCAGAUCAGGACCCCGCAGCUUUAAUUCCAGUCUAUCUCAUAAGGAGGCAUGUCGGUGACUUAAUUGGCAAUGUAGAUCGCCUUUUGCUGCGGGAUUACCAUAAUCUCAAGUAUGAGCUGAAGGUGAUUGCUUUUCAUAGGGGCAUCACUGGCCGGUUCUACAUUCGAUUCAAAAUAUGGUCAGACUUCUAGAUGGAACUCGGGUUUGCCUCCACAGAUUUAUUCGCCAACCACUAGAGGAAAUGACCGUUGAGGGAAUCUAUUUGGCAGAGGGCAGGUCAGCAAACUAUUCAUUUGAUAUUUAAGUGUUGUAAGUUCUUCAUUAAAAAAACUAAUUUAAAAAGGCUUACCAGUGACAUAGUUGAACCUAGCCUAGAUCAACACGAGCAAGUGUUGGACGAUGAUUUAGAUCCAGAGGAUGAUGAUUAUCCAGAGAAUGAUUAUCCAAAUCCAGAUCCAGAUGACGGAUGGUUUGAAGAUGAUGGAAGACGCGACCAUGAACUCUUGAGGUUAGCAUUAAUUAAAACGUAAGGUUAGAAAAUUGGGAUUAUUUAAAACACAAUGUAACCCACUGAUUUUAUCUGUUUUUCAGCUUUUAUCAAGAUGAGAUGGGAGUUGUGCUAUUGAUACCGGGACUGAAUAAUCCAAUUCAAAGACAAUUGGGUUGGGUCUUUAGGCGCACUUCCACUGCCCUUGAAAGUCUCAAUUCACAAAUCUGUUUUUGUGCGGCUCGAGCAAGGUUGCCAAGUGAGUACAGAAAGAUAUUCAAAGAUGGUGAUGGAGAUGGAGAUGAUUGUUUUGUGCCCGAAGAAGGUAAUGACGAGGAGUGGCAUGCAUUUGUAGAGAUGUUAAGUGAGAUUGAGCUCCACGCUACCAGGUGUGUAGAAAUAUGUUUAUUUAUUCUUUUUGUUUUUCAGUUUUAUUUGAUAUAAUAUAAUACAUAUCAGUUGAAAUACUGCUUACAACACAAGGUCUGAUGAUUCUUUAACAUGCCUCUGGUUAUUUAUAUGAAAAGCUAUGACAUGCCAGUUGUACAUUUGAACAAGUGUUUAUAUUUCUAAAUGAUUGACUAUGCAAAUCAUACAAUUAAUCCUUAGCAGACUUCAAUUAUAAUAGUGAAUAUCUAAUUAACAACUCAAUAAAAUGCAAUAAUAAAUGCAUAUUAAAGGCUCGUUGUUUGUCUUUGUUAGUUGAUUCUCUUGUCAAGACAGUUGUGUUUUUAAUUAUGUCAGUCAUGUUAGUGUGAGUUUGGGCUUUCCUGUUGCAUUGAUUUUUUUUAUUUUUUUUUGGAGGGGGCCGCGGCGGGGCUGCUAGAACAGAAAAGUUAGAAUAAAAUGGUCUAAAGAAAGUUUGUUUGCACAUCAAAGUUGGAUGAAUAGGAUUUUCUUCUUGUGAAAACAUUCGUGAUAUUGAUCUGUUUAGACGUUAAAACUUGUGCUUUGCCCUUCCUUAUGAAACUUUGUCUAUAGUUGAUCUUAUUCCUUAUUUCUCCUUACUUUGAUAUUUCAGGAUUGACGGAGAUUGAAAUUCAAGUUAGAGAAGUUCGGUUCGGAUGUACAAAUUAGUUGGGCCAUAGUUUUUUUGUUGUUGUCUCUGCUGGUAAAUUCAAAGAGGGACAAGUCUGGAGGGGAGUGUGCUGCUGAGGAAGGUAUCCCCAUUGAUGAGUCCAAUCCAAGUACAAAACCAAUAGCCGCUAAUAUGAUCAUUGAUCAUUGACUUCCAAGCUCAAAUGUCUGUGACUUUGUGGGAUUUUUUGGCUUCUAGUGUUUUUGCUUUAACUCGAGUUGUAGCUACUGUCUUUGUAUUUCCUAGUUGGUUGUAGUUUUCGUACUUCUUGUCCAAGUAUGUUGUUGGAUAAAAUAUCAUACCUUCAUGGCCGAAUAAGUCACGAAACAGGCGCUUCAAGAAUGCAUAAUCCGGGCGUUGAUCAAAUGUUAGAGUGGCAAUAAUGGAAAUAGGUGCGAACUCCACAGGAUGAGACUUACAUAGGACCUUGAAAACAGAUUUCACAAUCAGUUCAUUAUGACCCCCCCAAUUCGCAAGAUGCAAAACUAUCACCUAAUGGAAAGUGGCACAUACCUCAAUGGGAGUUGAUAGCUUCUUCUCACAAAUCUUAUCAUAUUUUUGCUUCUUCGUUGCAGCUUUAAGACCCUGCCAAAGAAGGCUAAAUGCAGAAACCAGUUAGUCAGGCCAUGAACUAAUAUAGUACUUUGUUAUCUGGUCAAAACAUUGUGCAAAC
RNAcentral lists this long non-coding RNA (4404 nucleotides) under Prunus dulcis (almond). RNAcentral describes it as "sRNA ncRNA". The record is from RNAcentral. Lineage: Eukaryota; Viridiplantae; Streptophyta; Magnoliopsida; Rosales; Rosaceae.